Acanthosepion pharaonis is the source of this 111-nucleotide non-coding RNA. Lineage: Eukaryota; Metazoa; Mollusca; Cephalopoda; Sepiida; Sepiidae. The record is from the annotation of a GenBank genome assembly.
UUACAGCCAUAUCAUGUUGAAACAUCAGUUCCCAUACAAUCACUGAAGUUAAGCAAUGUUGAAUCCGGUUAGUACCUAGAUGGGUCAUUGCUUGGAAAUAUCAGGUGGUUG